GGUGGUGGCUCAGUGGUAGAGCACUUGCCUAGCACGUGUGAGGCCCUGGGUUCGAUUCUCAGCACCA
Molecule: transfer RNA, 67 nt
Filed under: Marmota monax (woodchuck)
Lineage: Eukaryota; Metazoa; Chordata; Mammalia; Rodentia; Sciuridae
Description: tRNA.Ala
Rfam family: tRNA
About the family: Transfer RNA (tRNA) molecules are approximately 80 nucleotides in length. Their secondary structure includes four short double-helical elements and three loops (D, anti-codon, and T loops).
Source: RNAcentral